Molecule: ribosomal RNA, 255 nt
Filed under: uncultured Pseudomonas sp.
Lineage: Bacteria; Pseudomonadati; Pseudomonadota; Gammaproteobacteria; Pseudomonadales; Pseudomonadaceae
Description: partial 16S ribosomal RNA
Rfam family: Bacterial small subunit ribosomal RNA
Source: RNAcentral
UGGUGGGCACUCUAAGGAGACUGCCGGUGACAAACCGGAGGAAGGUGGGGAUGACGUCAAGUCAUCAUGGCCCUUACGGCCUGGGCUACACACGUGCUACAAUGGUCGGUACAAAGGGUUGCCAAGCCGCGAGGUGGAGCUAAUCCCAUAAAACCGAUCGUAGUCCGGAUCGCAGUCUGCAACUCGACUGCGUGAAGUCGGAAUCGCUAGUAAUCGUGAAUCAGAAUGUCACGGUGAAUACGUUCCCGGGCCGUU